UCCUACGGGGGUCAUCAGUUAUUAAUCUUUUUCAAUUUUCUCCUGCCUUAACCAGCCAAGUAGCGUGAAGGAUGACUGCCCUAUGGGUUGUAAACUUCUUUUAUAUGGGAAUAAAGUUUUCCACGUGUGGAAUUUUGUAUGUACCAUAUGAAUAAGGAUCGGCUAACUCCGUGCCAGCAGCCGCGGUAAUACGGAGGAUCCGAGCGUUAUCCGGAUUUAUUGGGUUUAAAGGGAGCGUAGGUGGACAGUUAAGUCAGUUGUGAAAGUUUGCGGCUCAACCGUAAAAUUGCAGUUGAUAC
This 299-nucleotide ribosomal RNA is filed under the name uncultured bacterium. RNAcentral describes it as "partial 16S ribosomal RNA". It matches the Rfam family "Bacterial small subunit ribosomal RNA", at positions 337 to 633 of the family's 1533-position model. The record is from RNAcentral.